UACAAUUGUAAAAUAUAAUUCUUGGUUAGUAGUAGUUAUGUUCUUUAAAACUAAAAAAUUUGGCGGUAUUUUAGUCAGUUCAGAGGAACCUGUCCUGUAAUUGAUAGUCCACGAUAUUCCUUACUUAUUCUUUUAGCUUGUAUAUCGUUGUUAAUGAAUUUCUUUUUAGGGUUAAUUUUCUUUUAUUUUUAUGUUAAUUAAUUUCAGAUCAAGGUGCAGCUUAUGAGUAAGUAGAGAUGGGUUACAUUAUUUUUAUUUUUGGUUAUUAAAUUUAAAUUUUUAGUAUAAAAUGGAUUUGACAGUAAUUAUAUUUAUUUAACUAUGAUGAUUAUUGUUCUGAAAUAUGU
Molecule: ribosomal RNA, 347 nt
Filed under: Lampyris noctiluca
Lineage: Eukaryota; Metazoa; Arthropoda; Insecta; Coleoptera; Lampyridae
Description: partial 12S ribosomal RNA
Source: RNAcentral